RNAcentral lists this non-coding RNA (29 nucleotides) under Homo sapiens (human). The record is from RNAcentral. Lineage: Eukaryota; Metazoa; Chordata; Mammalia; Primates; Hominidae.
AUGAGAACUAGGAGUUUCCGGUGCAAAGA